AUGGAGCCGACCUUGAAAUACCACCCUUUAAUGUUUGAUGUUCUAACGUUGACCCGUAAUCCGGGUUGCGGACAGUGUCUGGUGGGUAGUUUGACUGGGGCGGUCUCCUCCUAAAGAGUAACGGAGGAGCACGAAGGUUGGCUAAUCCUGGUCGGACAUCAGGAGGUUAGUGCAAUGGCAUAAGCCAGCUUGACUGCGAGCGUGACGGCGCGAGCAGGUGCGAAAGCAGGUCAUAGUGAUCCGGUGGUUCUGAAUGGAAGGGCCAUCGCUCAACGGAUAAAAGGUACUCCGGGGAUAACAGGCUGAUACCGCCCAAGAGUUCAUAUCGACGGCGGUGUUUGGCACCUCGAUGUCGGCUCAUCACAUCCUGGGGCUGAAGUAGGUCCCAAGGGUAUGGCUGUUCGCCAUUUAAAGUGGUACGCGAGCUGGGUUUAGAACGUCGUGAGACAGUUCGGUCCCUAUCUGCCGUGGGCGCUGGAGAACUGAGGGGGGCUGCUCCUAGUACGAGAGGACCGGAGUGGACGCAUCACUGGUGUUCGGGUUGUCAUGCCAAUGGCACUGCCCGGUAGCUAAAUGCGGAAGAGAUAAGUGCUGAAAGCAUCUAAGCACGAAACUUGCCCCGAGAUGAGUUCUCCCUGACUCCUUGAGAGUCCUGAAGGAACGUUGAAGACGACGACGUUGAUAGGCCGGGUGUGUA
Molecule: ribosomal RNA, 697 nt
Filed under: Escherichia coli
Lineage: Bacteria; Pseudomonadati; Pseudomonadota; Gammaproteobacteria; Enterobacterales; Enterobacteriaceae
Description: partial 23S ribosomal RNA
Rfam family: Bacterial large subunit ribosomal RNA
Source: RNAcentral